AUAUCAAUAAGCGGAGGAGAAGAAAUUAACUAAGAUUGCCCUAGUAACGGCGAGUGAAGCGGCAAGAGCCCAAAAUGGAAAUCUUGUACACUACGUGUGCACGAAUUGUAAUCUAAAGGAUGUUCUCUCAACGGGCGGUGACGCAGAAGUUCCUUAGAACGGGACGCCAGAGAGGGUGACAGCCCCGUAUGUGGUGUCGCUGCCUAACGAGAGGGUGUUCAACGAGUCGGGUUGUUUUGUAUUGCAGCCCUAAGUGGGAGAUAAACUUCUUCUAAGGCUAAAUAUAUAUGGGAAACCGAUAGCGAACAAGUACUGUGAAGGAAAGAUGAAAAGAACUUUGAAAAGAGAGUCAAAAGACUUGAAAUCGUUGAGAAGGAAGCGGUAGAAAUUUAUUCUUCGGCGGAGGUCUGUGGCGGUUGCCUAACCAUUGCGGGCUGCCAGCACUGCAUAAGGCUGCGGCUUGUACCUGGGGAAGCAGCCGUUUUGACCUUCGUCGUGAGGCAAGAUGAGGUCGCGCAUCCACAAAGGCUUCCCACACCUGGCUCGGUUCGCCGGGCAGUGUGGGUGUGCCGGUGGAUGUACGGCCUGAGGAUGCUUCGUGCGAUCUUGCCAAAAUGGUUUUUACCGA
RNAcentral lists this ribosomal RNA (628 nucleotides) under uncultured fungus. Its description in RNAcentral is "eukaryotic LSU rRNA". It matches the Rfam family "Eukaryotic large subunit ribosomal RNA", at positions 40 to 647 of the family's 3401-position model. The record is from RNAcentral. Lineage: Eukaryota; Fungi.